RNAcentral lists this unclassified non-coding RNA (408 nucleotides) under soil metagenome. RNAcentral describes it as "partial contains 5.8S ribosomal RNA, internal transcribed spacer 2, and large subunit ribosomal RNA". The stretch from base 1 to 120 matches the Rfam family "5.8S ribosomal RNA", at positions 35 to 154 of the family's 154-position model. The record is from RNAcentral.
GAUGAAGAACGCAGCGAAAUGCGAUAAGUAAUGUGAAUUGCAGAAUUCAGUGAAUCAUUGAAUCUUUGAACGCACCUUGCGCUCCUUGGCAUUCCGAGGAGCAUGCCUGUUUGAGUGUCAUUAAAUUCUCAAGACCUGUCUGCUUUUUUGAUAGGUAUUGGAUUUUGGGGGUUGCAGGCUGUUUCAAAUAAAUAGCCUUGCUCUCCUUGAAUGUAUUAGUGGAGAAAAGCCAUUGAACUCCAUUGGUGUGAUAAAACCUAUCAAUGCCAGGAGCAAUAGCACUACUUCUCUCUGCUGUCUAACUGUGACUGUCUGUAUUAAUUAGUAUGGAUGGGGACAACUUGACCAACUUGACCUCAAAUCAGGUAGGACUACCCGCUGAACUUAAGCAUAUCAAUAAGCGGAGGA